This 446-nucleotide ribosomal RNA is filed under the name uncultured bacterium. Its description in RNAcentral is "partial 16S ribosomal RNA". It matches the Rfam family "Bacterial small subunit ribosomal RNA", at positions 338 to 795 of the family's 1533-position model. The record is from RNAcentral.
CCUACGGGGGGCAGCAGUCGAGAAUCAUUCACAAUGGGGGAAACCCUGAUGGUGCGACGCCGCGUGGGGGAAUGAAGGCCUUCGGAUUGUAAACCCCUGUCAUGUGGGAGCAAAUUAAAAAGAUAGUACCACAAGAGGAAGAGACGGCUAACUCUGUGCCAGCAGCCGCGGUAAUACAGAGGUCUCAAGCGUUGUUCGGAAUCACUGGGCGUAAAGCGUGCGUAGGCUGUUUCGUAAGUCGUGUGUGAAAGGCGCGGGCUCAAGCCGCGGACGGCACAUGAUACUGCGAGACUAGAGUGAUGGAGGGGGAAGCGGAAUUCUCGGUGUAGCAGUGAAAUGCGUAGAUAUCGGGAGGAACACUCGUGGCGAAGGCGGGUUCCUGGACAUUAACUGACGCUGAGGCACGAAGGCCAGGGGAGCGAAAGGGAUUAGAUACCCCUGUAGUC